RNAcentral lists this ribosomal RNA (890 nucleotides) under Hyphopichia wangnamkhiaoensis. RNAcentral describes it as "LSU rRNA". It matches the Rfam family "Eukaryotic large subunit ribosomal RNA", at positions 36 to 967 of the family's 3401-position model. Lineage: Eukaryota; Fungi; Ascomycota; Pichiomycetes; Serinales; Debaryomycetaceae. The record is from RNAcentral.
UAGCAUAUCAAUAGCGGAGGAAAAGAAACCAACAGGGAUUGCCUCAGUAACGGCGAAGUGAAGCGGCAAAAGCUCAAAUUUGGAAUCUGGCACUUUUUGUGUCCGAGUUGUAAUUUGAAGACCGGUGCUUUGGGGCUCGGAGGUGUCGAAGUUCCUUGGAACAGGACGUCGCAGAGGGUGAGAAUCCCGUGCGAUACCUCUUUGAGUCUCGUGUAAAGCCCAGUCGACGAGUCGAGUUGUUUGGGAAUGCAGCUCUAAGUGGGUGGUAAAUUCCAUCUAAAGCUAAAUACUGGCGAGAGACCGAUAGCGAACAAGUACAGUGAUGGAAAGAUGAAAAGAACUUUGAAAAGAGAGUGAAAAAGUACGUGAAAUUGUUGAAAGGGAAGGGCUUGAGAUCAGACUUGGGAUUGCUCUUCGGGGCGGUUUCCAGGCCAGCAUCAGGUGGAGGGGCGAGAUAAGACGGCAGGAACGUGGCUUUGCUUCGGUGAAGUGUUAUAGCCUGCUGAGAUAUCGCCAUCUUCGCCUGAGGACUGCGCUUCGGCAAGGAUGCUGGCAUAAUGAUCUUAAGCCGCCCGUCUUGAAACACGGACCAAGGAGUCUAACGUCUAUGCGAGUGUUUGGGUGUAAAACCCGUACGCGGAAUGAAAGUGAACGUAGGUGGGAACUCCGCAAGGAGCGCACCAUCGACCGAUCCUGAUGUCUUCGGAUGGAUUUGAGUAAGAGCAUAGCUGUUGGGACCCGAAAGAUGGUGAACUAUGCCUGAAUAGGGUGAAGCCAGAGGAAACUCUGGUGGAGGCUCGUAGCGGUUCUGACGUGCAAAUCGAUCGUAGAAUUUGGGUAUAGGGGCGAAAGACUAAUCGAACCAUCUAGUAGCUGGUUCCUGCCGAAGU